This 746-nucleotide ribosomal RNA is filed under the name uncultured Anaerococcus sp. RNAcentral's name for it is "bacterial SSU rRNA". It matches the Rfam family "Bacterial small subunit ribosomal RNA", at positions 28 to 776 of the family's 1533-position model. Lineage: Bacteria; Bacillati; Bacillota; Tissierellia; Tissierellales; Peptoniphilaceae. The record is from RNAcentral.
GAUUAACGCUGGCGGCGUGCAUAACACAUGCAAGUCGAACGAUGAAACUUUUUUGAUUUCUUCGGAAUGAAAAAAAGUGGAUUAGUGGCGGACGGGUGAGUAACGCGUGAGUAACCUGCCUUAGAGAAGGGGAUAGCCUUUGGAAACGAAGAAUAAUACCCUAUGAAACCAUAACCUCGCAUGAGGCCUUGGUCAAAGAUUUAUCGCUCUAAGAUGGACUUGCGUCUGAUUAGUUAGUUGGUGGGGUAACGGCCCACCAAGACAGCGAUCAGUAGCCGGCUUGAGAGAGUGUACGGCCACAUUGGGACUGAGACACGGCCCAGACUCCUACGGGAGGCAGCAGUGGGGAAUUUUGCACAAUGGGGGGAACCCUGAUGCAGCGACGCCGCGUGAUUUAGAAGGCCUUCGGGUUGUAAAAAUCUUUUCUAUGGGAAGAAAAUGACAGUACCAUAGGAAUAAGGACCGGCUAAUUACGUGCCAGCAGCCGCGGUAAUACGUAAGGUCCGAGCGUUGUCCGGAAUCAUUGGGCGUAAAGGGUACGUAGGCGGGUAAGCAAGUUAGAAGUGAAAUCCUAUAGCUCAACUAUAGUAAGCUUUUAAAACUGCUCAUCUUGAGGUAUGGAAGGGAAAGUGGAAUUCCUAGUGUAGCGGUGAAAUGCGCAGAUAUUAGGAGGAAUACCGGUGGCGAAGGCGACUUUCUGGCCAUAACCUGACGCUGAGGUACGAAAGCGUGGGGUAGCAAACAGG